UACGUAGGGUGCGAGCGUUGUCCGGAAUUAUUGGGCGUAAAGAGCUCGUAGGCGGUCUGUCGCGUCGAUCGUGAAAACUUGGGGCUUAACCCUGAGCCUGCGGUCGAUACGGGCAUGACUGGAGUUCGGCAGGGGAGACUGGAAUUCCUGGUGUAGCGGUGAAAUGCGCAGAUAUCAGGAGGAACACCGGUGGCGAAGGCGGGUCUCUGGGCCGAUACUGACGCUGAGGAGCGAAAGCGUGGGGAGCGAACAGG
RNAcentral lists this ribosomal RNA (254 nucleotides) under uncultured bacterium. Its description in RNAcentral is "partial 16S ribosomal RNA". It matches the Rfam family "Bacterial small subunit ribosomal RNA", at positions 524 to 776 of the family's 1533-position model. The record is from RNAcentral.